Molecule: ribosomal RNA, 361 nt
Filed under: uncultured bacterium
Lineage: Bacteria
Description: partial 16S ribosomal RNA
Rfam family: Bacterial small subunit ribosomal RNA
Source: RNAcentral
CCUACGGGGGGCAGCAGUGAGGAAUAUUGGUCAAUGGGCGGAAGCCUGAACCAGCCAAGUCGCGUGAGGGAUUAAGGCCCUGCGGGUCGUAAACCUCUUUUGCCGGGGAGCAGUGGUCCGGACGCGUCCGGACCGGGAGAGUACCCGGAGAAAAAGCAUCGGCUAACUCCGUGCCAGCAGCCGCGGUAAUACGGAGGAUGCGAGCGUUAUCCGGAUUUAUUGGGUUUAAAGGGUGCGUAGGCGGGCAUUAAAGCCGGCGGUAAAAAGGCGGGGCUCACACCCGGCGUGCCGUGGGAACGGGUGGCUGUGAGUGGGCGAGAAGUAGGGGGAAGGAGUGGGGGAGCGGUGAAAUGAAUAGAUA